CGGCACCCUCUCCUCUCUCUCUGUCUCAACUAUCUCUCUCGGUCCCUCUCUCUCUCGGCUCUCUCAGUCGCAGCGGCGUGCGGCGGCGGGAGGAGAGGCGGCAGCGAUGGGUAGCGCCGUCCCCUCCUCCAGAUCCGGUGGGAGGGGAGGCAGCAGCAGCGAUGUGUGGUGGCGGGAGGGAGGCGACAUCAGCGAUGGGCGGCGAUGGGAGGGGAGGCAGCAGCGGCGGGUGGCGUCCUCCCCUCUGCCAGAUCUAGCAGGAGGGAAGGCGGCUGCAGCGACGUGCGGUGGUGGGCGGUGGUAGGAAGGAAGGCGACAGCGGCGGGCGGCGUGCUAUUCUUCUGCAGUUCCAUCCUUGGCGAGGGGAGGUGGUAACGGCGGUGCUCGACGUACUGCUCGUCUGCAGCUCUAUCCUCUCCAGAGGCCGUCGUCCAUCUUUUUUGUGUUUGUAUUAGUGUUGAUUCUGGUGAUGCUCUGGGAUGUUUUUGAGUUCUUGGAUGCCGAUUAAUUUGAUGAAUUAAAUGAUGGGUGAAAUCGGGUGAAGGGGAGUUGCUCGAU
This 558-nucleotide small RNA is filed under the name Oryza sativa Japonica Group (Japanese rice). RNAcentral describes it as "sRNA Os07g0242050". The record is from RNAcentral. Lineage: Eukaryota; Viridiplantae; Streptophyta; Magnoliopsida; Poales; Poaceae.